AUUCGCCUUCGGCCUAACACAUGCAAGUCGAGCGGUAACAGAUUGAUAGCUUGCUAUCAAUGCUGACGAGCGGCGGAGGGUGAGUAAUGCCUGGGAAUAUACCCUGAUGUGGGGGAUAACUAUUGGAAACGAUAGCUAAUACCGCAUAAUCUCUUCGGAGCAAAGAGGGGGACUUCGGGCCUCUCGCGUCAGGAUUAGCCCAGGUGGGAUUAGCUAGUUGGUGGGGUAAUGGCUCACCAAGGCGACGAUCCCUAGCUGGUCUGAGAGGAUGAUCAGCCACACUGGAACUGAGACACGGUCCAGACUCCUACGGGAGGCAGCAGUGGGGAAUAUUGCACAAUGGGGGAAACCCUGAUGCAGCCAUGCCGCGUGUAUGAAGAAGGCCUUCGGGUUGUAAAGUACUUUCAGUUGUGAGGAAGGCGUUAAAGUUAAUAGCUUUAGCGUUUGACGUUAGCAACAGAAGAAGCACCGGCUAACUCCGUGCCAGCAGCCGCGGUAAUACGGAGGGUGCGAGCGUUAAUCGGAAUUACUGGGCGUAAAGCGCAUGCAGGCGGUCUGUUAAGCAAGAUGUGAAAGCCCGGGGCUCAACCUCGGAACAGCAUUUUGAACUGGCAGACUAGAGUCUUGUAGAGGGGGGUAGAAUUUCAGGUGUAGCGGUGAAAUGCGUAGAGAUCUGAAGGAAUACCGGUGGCGAAGGCGGCCCCCUGGACAAAGACUGACGCUCAGAUGCGAAAGCGUGGGGAGCAAACAGGAUUAGAUACCCUGGUAGUCCACGCCGUAAACGAUGUCUACUUGAAGGUUGUGGCCUUGAGCCGUGGCUUUCGGAGCUAACGCGUUAAGUAGACCGCCUGGGGAGUACGGUCGCAAGAUUAAAACUCAAAUGAAUUGACGGGGGCCCGCACAAGCGGUGGAGCAUGUGGUUUAAUUCGAUGCAACGCGAAGAACCUUACCUACUCUUGACAUCCAGAGAAUUCGCUAGAGAUAGCUUAGUGCCUUCGGGAACUCUGAGACAGGUGCUGCAUGGCUGUCGUCAGCUCGUGUUGUGAAAUGUUGGGUUAAGUCCCGCAACGAGCGCAACCCUUAUCCUUGUUUGCCAGCACGUAAUGGUGGGAACUCCAGGGAGACUGCCGGUGAUAAACCGGAGAAGGUGGGGACCGACGUCAAGUCAUCAUGGCCCUUACGAGUAGGGCUACACACGUGCUACAAUKGCGUAUACAGAGGGCUGCAVUAGCGAUAGUUGAGCGAAUCCACAA
RNAcentral lists this ribosomal RNA (1253 nucleotides) under uncultured Gammaproteobacteria bacterium. RNAcentral describes it as "bacterial SSU rRNA". It matches the Rfam family "Bacterial small subunit ribosomal RNA", at positions 35 to 1278 of the family's 1533-position model. Lineage: Bacteria; Pseudomonadati; Pseudomonadota; Gammaproteobacteria. The record is from RNAcentral.